RNAcentral lists this ribosomal RNA (479 nucleotides) under uncultured bacterium. Its description in RNAcentral is "partial 16S ribosomal RNA". It matches the Rfam family "Bacterial small subunit ribosomal RNA", at positions 28 to 507 of the family's 1533-position model. The record is from RNAcentral.
GACGAACGCUGGCGGCGUGCCUAAUACAUGCAAGUAGAACGCACAGUUUAUACCGUAGCUUGCUCCACCAUAAACUGUGAGUUGCGAACGGGUGAGUAACGCGUAGGUAACCUGCCUGGUAGCGGGGGAUAACUAUUGGAAACGAUAGCUAAUACCGCAUAAUAUUGAUUAUUGCAUGAUAAUUGAUUGAAAGAUGCUAUUGCAUCACUACCAGAUGGACCUGCGUUGUAUUAGCUAGUAGGUGAGGUAACGGCUCACCUAGGCGACGAGAAAUAGCCGAGCAGAGAGGAUGAUCGGCCACAAUGGGACUGAGACACGGCCCAAACUCCUACGGGAGGCAGCGGUGGGGAAUGUUGCGCAAUGGGCGAAAGCCGGACGGAGCCAUGCCGCGUGAAUGAUGAAGGUCUUAGGAUUGUAAAAGUCUUUCACCGGGGACGAUAAUGACGGGACCCGGAGAAGAAGCCCCGGCUAACUUCGUG